AUGAACGCUGGCGGCGUGCCUAAUACAUGCAAGUCGAGCGAACGGACGAGAAGCUUGCUUCUCUGAUGUUAGCGGCGGACGGGUGAGUAACACGUGGAUAACCUACCUAUAAGACUGGGAUAACUUCGGGAAACCGGAGCUAAUACCGGAUAAUAUUUUGAACCGCAUGGUUCAAAAGUGAAAGACGGUCUUGCUGUCACUUAUAGCUGGAUCCGCGCUGCAUUAGCUAGUUGGUAAGGUAACGGCUUACCAAGGCAACGAUGCAUAGCCGACCUGAGAGGGUGAUCGGCCAGACUGGAACUGAGACACGGUCCAGACUCCUACGGGAGGCAGCAGUAGGGAAUCUUCCGCAAUGGGCGAAAGCCUGACGGAGCAACGCCGCGUGAGUGAUGAAGGUCUUCGGAUCGUAAAACUCUGUUAGUAGGGAAGAACAUAUGUGUAAGUAACUGUGCACAUCUUGACGGUACCUAAUCAGAAAGCCACGGCUAACUACGUG
Molecule: ribosomal RNA, 496 nt
Filed under: uncultured bacterium
Lineage: Bacteria
Description: partial 16S ribosomal RNA
Rfam family: Bacterial small subunit ribosomal RNA
Source: RNAcentral